UGGGGAAUAUUGCACAAUGGGCGCAAGCCUGAUGCAGCCAUGCCGCGUGUGUGAAGAAGGCCUUCGGGUUGUAAAGCACUUUCAGCGAGGAGGAAGGGUAGUGUGUUAAUAGCACAUUGCAUUGACGUUACUCGCAGAAGAAGCACCGGCUAACUCCGUGCCAGCAGCCGCGGUAAUACGGAGGGUGCAAGCGUUAAUCGGAAUUACUGGGCGUAAAGCGCACGCAGGCGGUCUGUUAAGUCAGAUGUGAAAUCCCCGCGCUUAACGUGGGAACUGCAUUUGAAACUGGCAAGCUAGAGUCUUGUAGAGGGGGGUAGAAUUCCAGGUGUAGCGGUGAAAUGCGUAGAGAUCUGGAGGAAUACCGGUGGCGAAGGCGGCCCCCUGGACAAAGAC
Molecule: ribosomal RNA, 393 nt
Filed under: uncultured bacterium
Lineage: Bacteria
Description: partial 16S ribosomal RNA
Rfam family: Bacterial small subunit ribosomal RNA
Source: RNAcentral